CUUGCACGCUGGCGGCAUGCUUUACACAUGCAAGUCGAACGGUAACAGGCCUUCGGGUGCUGACGAGUGGCGAACGGGUGAGUAAUGCAUCGGAACGUGCCCAGAGGUGGGGGAUAACGCAGCGAAAGCUGUGCUAAUACCGCAGGUGAUCUGAGGAUGAAAGCGGGGGACCAAGCAGCAAUGUUUGGCCUCGCGCCUCUGGAGCGGCCGAUGUCAGAUUAGGUAGUUGGUGGGGUAAAGGCCUACCAAGCCGACGAUCUGUAGCUGGUCUGAGAGGACGACCAGCCACACUGGGACUGAGACACGGCCCAGACUCCUACGGGAGGCAGCAGUGGGGAAUUUUGGACAAUGGGCGCAAGUCUGAUCCAGCAAUGCCGCGUGCGGGAAGAAGGCCUUCGGGUUGUAAACCGCUUUUGUACGGAACGAAAAGGCUCUGGCUAAUACCUGGGGCUGAUGACGGUACCGUAAGAAUAAGCACCGGCUAACUACGUG
RNAcentral lists this ribosomal RNA (492 nucleotides) under uncultured bacterium. Its description in RNAcentral is "partial 16S ribosomal RNA". It matches the Rfam family "Bacterial small subunit ribosomal RNA", at positions 30 to 507 of the family's 1533-position model. The record is from RNAcentral.